Long non-coding RNA from Xyrauchen texanus (razorback sucker), 709 nucleotides. RefSeq lists it as uncharacterized. The record is from RefSeq and is a predicted model, not a curated record. The transcript is spliced from 4 exons. Lineage: Eukaryota; Metazoa; Chordata; Actinopteri; Cypriniformes; Catostomidae.
UGGAUCACUGCAGUCUGGAUGGAUAUUUAUCUGUUAUCAUUUUGGCAGAGUUGUUUACCUGCUAUGAUGCUUGGAAUUGGAUUCAAUAUGUUGUCUGAAUUGGGGCAGUAAGAGUAGAGAGGCAGGACCCUCUUCCCCACACCCUCCUGGUGGCGGUUCUUCUCACUGAUUGCUGUGCUCUAUAUCGAGGUCCAGGGUGCCUUGUGUGGUACUGGUGCUCUCACCCCAGGCCUUUUGGCAAAACAGAAAUAGAUGAAAGUCUGAUUCGGUCAGACAGAAACCAGUCGUCGCUCCUGCAUGAUAACAACAUGAGUAAUCUAGAAGGCAUCGACCGUGUGGUGUCCGGCCAAGAGAAUUAUGUCAACAGCACAAACGCCAGGCUUAUCUGCAGCAAAAGUCUGUCCACGUGGCCGUACAAGUGUCUGGACCUUGAGCCCAGGAAUGUGGAGAGACUUACUGGCCAGACACAAGCUGUCAACAAGCAAAACUUGCAUACAUAUUCUGCUGAUUUCUGAUAAGAAAGCAUUGUUGGCUGCUUCUAUGACACAAAAUCCCUUUUUUAUUAAAUCUAUAACUCACUGAUCAAUAUAAUUCAUGGUGGUGAUUGCAUGAAAUAGGUAUAUAGAGGGUCAGGAUAAACAUAAAAAUGGUAGUUCACCAAAAAAAAAAAAAAAAAACUAUUUGACCUAUUACUCACCAUCAUGCCUUU